This 464-nucleotide ribosomal RNA is filed under the name uncultured bacterium. RNAcentral describes it as "bacterial SSU rRNA". It matches the Rfam family "Bacterial small subunit ribosomal RNA", at positions 28 to 507 of the family's 1533-position model. The record is from RNAcentral.
GACGAACGCUGGCGGCGUGCCUAACACAUGCAAGUCGAACGGGGUUAGUUCCUUCGGGGACUAACUUAGUGGCGAACGGGUGAGUAACGCGUGAGAAACCUGCCUUUCAGUGGGGGACAACAGUUGGAAACGACUGCUAAUACCGCAUAAUGUUAUUUGGGGGCAUCCCCGAAUAACCAAAGCUUUAUGUGCUGAAAGAUGGUCUCGCGUCUGAUUAGCUAGUUGGUGAGGUAACGGCUCACCAAGGCGACGAUCAGUAGCCGGUCUGAGAGGAUGAACGGCCACAUUGGGACUGAGAUACGGCCCAGACUCCUACGGGAGGCAGCAGUGGGGAAUAUUGGGCAAUGGGGGAAACCCUGACCCAGCAACGCCGCGUGAAGGAAGAAGGCCUUCGGGUUGUAAACUUCUUUACCAGGACGAAGAACGUGACGGUACCUGGAGAAAAGACAACGGCUAACUACGUG